Nilaparvata lugens (brown planthopper) is the source of this 642-nucleotide long non-coding RNA. RefSeq lists it as uncharacterized. Lineage: Eukaryota; Metazoa; Arthropoda; Insecta; Hemiptera; Delphacidae. The transcript has 2 exons. The record is from RefSeq and is a predicted model, not a curated record.
UCAAUAGAACUAUUGAUUAUCUCACGCCUCUCUGACAAUAGAGUGAAGGAUUCAAUCAACAGUAUUUACAUUAAUCAUGAGCUCUGGCUUACGCAACAUUCAAUACAAAUUUAAUCAACUGUUCAAUACAAUUGAUUAUCCACAGCUUUUCCGAUAAUCCUGUACUUAUAUUUUGAUAUAAAUACAGCUUCCUUAACGCUCAGAAAAUCAGAAACAUCAGGGAAAAUAGUGCUGCCAUACACGAUUUUGCAGAUCUAAUCUCCAUCACAAUCUUCGCAAAAUGAAGUUGUUCCACGUGGUUCUCGUAGCAUCAGCGUUGGUGGUGAUGAGUCUUAUGACUCCAGUCCUUGCCGAUCCCCGCCCCAGGGGAGGCCAUCUGCCACCCGGUCGCAAAUGAUUCCUCAUUUUUCAAAUUGUUUCAAUUUUUUAAAAUUAUUUUUUGUGUGUUGGUUUUUAAAUGAAACAAUGUAAUAAAAGCAAUUGCUUCUUGAGGAAUUGAAGUUUUUGAUCGAUUAAACCAUAUUACUGUACUACAAAUGAUUCUUCAUUUCCAAGUUGUUUCAAAUUUUCAAUAAUUUUUUCUGUGUGUGUGUGUGUGUUUAAUUGAAACAAUGCAAUAAAAGCAUUUGCUACUUGAGGAAU